ACUCAAAGGAAUUGACGGGGGCCCGCACAAGCAGCGGAGCGUGUGGUUUAAUUCGAGGCUACACGAAGAACCUUACCUAGACUUGACAUGCAAGUGGUAGUGAACCGAAAGGGGAACGACCUUCGGGAGCUUGCACAGGUGCUGCAUGGCUGUCGUCAGCUCGUGUCGUGAGAUGUUCGGUUAAGUCCGGUAACGAGCGCAACCCUCGCCGUUAGUUAUACGUGUCUAGCGGGACUGCCCGGAGGAACUGGGAGGAAGGUGGGGAUGACGUCAAGUCAGCAUGGCCUUUAUGUCUAGGGCGACACACACGCUACAAUGGUCGGUACAAUCGGCAGCCAAGCCGCGAGGCGGAGCUAAUCCGUAGAAAGCCGACCUCAGUUCGGAUUGUAGGCUGCAACUCGCCUGCAUGAAGUCGGAGUUGCUAGUAAACGCGCAUCAGCCAUGGCGCGUUGAAUACGUUCCCGGGCCUUGUACACACCGCCCGU
Molecule: ribosomal RNA, 485 nt
Filed under: uncultured bacterium
Lineage: Bacteria
Description: partial 16S ribosomal RNA
Rfam family: Bacterial small subunit ribosomal RNA
Source: RNAcentral